RNAcentral lists this ribosomal RNA (486 nucleotides) under uncultured Acidobacteriota bacterium. Its description in RNAcentral is "bacterial SSU rRNA". It matches the Rfam family "Bacterial small subunit ribosomal RNA", at positions 224 to 704 of the family's 1533-position model. Lineage: Bacteria; Pseudomonadati; Acidobacteriota. The record is from RNAcentral.
GAGGGGCCCGCGCCCGAUUAGCUUGUUGGUAGGGUAACGGCCUACCAGGGCUUUGAUCGGUAGCUGGUCUGAGAGGACGGCCAGCCACACUGGCACUGACACACGGGCCAGACUCCUACGGGAGGCAGCAGUGGGGAAUUUUGGGCAAUGGGCGAAAGCCUGACCCAGCAACGCCGCGUGAGGGAGGAAAUCCUUCGGGAUGUAAACCUCACAAGUAAGGGAAGAGUGCUGCGGGCUGAAUAAUUCCGCAGUUCGACGGUACCUUACGUAAGCCACGGCUAACUACGUGCCAGCAGCCGCGGUAAUACGUAGGUGGCAAGCGUUGUUCGGAAUUAUUGGGCGUAAAGGGCGCGUAGGCGGCUUGUUAAGUCGGCUGUGAAAGCCCGGGGCUCAACCCCGGAGGGUCGGCCGAUACUGGCGAGCUAGAGUACGGAAGAGGUAGCUGGAAUUCCCGGUGUAGCGGUGAAAUGCGUAGAUAUCGGGAGG